GGAUGAGUGGCGGAGUGGCUGAACGCGCGCGAUUCGAAAUCGUGUUUACGGUAACACCGUAACGGGGGUUCAAAUCCCUCCUCAUCCGCCA
This 91-nucleotide transfer RNA is filed under the name Alphaproteobacteria bacterium. RNAcentral's name for it is "tRNA-Ser". It matches the Rfam family "tRNA". From Rfam's summary of the family: Transfer RNA (tRNA) molecules are approximately 80 nucleotides in length. Their secondary structure includes four short double-helical elements and three loops (D, anti-codon, and T loops). Lineage: Bacteria; Pseudomonadati; Pseudomonadota; Alphaproteobacteria. The record is from RNAcentral.